CAAAUUUGUGAUCACCUAGUCGUGGGGAUCUCAAGUUUGACUCUUGACAAGCUAGAUGGAGGCUUGGGAGGAAGCGGGUCAAAUGGAGCAAGUACGAAGAGAAAACGUUGCUUGGAUGCGAGGUGAAUGUCGAGAGUCCCGGAUGAAGACUAAGCAUCGAGCA
Molecule: long non-coding RNA, 163 nt
Organism: Helianthus annuus (common sunflower)
Lineage: Eukaryota; Viridiplantae; Streptophyta; Magnoliopsida; Asterales; Asteraceae
Exons: 3
Source: RefSeq, a predicted model, not a curated record